AAUGGGGGAAACCCUGAUCCAGCCAUGCCGCGUGUGUGAUGAAGGCCUUAGGGUUGUAAAGCACUUUCGUUGGGGAUGAUAAUGACCGUACCCAAAGAAGAAGCCACGGCUAAAUUCGUGCCAGCAGCCGCGGUAAUACGAAUGUGGCAAGCGUUGUUCGGAAUCACUGGGCGUAAAGAAUGCGUAGGCGGCUUGACAAGUCGAGAGUGAAAUCCCAGGGCUUAACCCUGGAACUGAUUUCGAAACUGUUUUGCUAGAGUCCCGGAGGGGUUGGCGGAAUUCCGAGUGUAGAGGUGAAAUUCGCAGAUAUUCGGAGGAACACCAGUGGCGUAGGCGGCCAACUGGACGGGAACUGACGCUGAGGCAUGAAAGUGUGGGGAUCAAA
This 385-nucleotide ribosomal RNA is filed under the name uncultured bacterium. Its description in RNAcentral is "bacterial SSU rRNA". It matches the Rfam family "Bacterial small subunit ribosomal RNA", at positions 370 to 772 of the family's 1533-position model. The record is from RNAcentral.